This 191-nucleotide ribosomal RNA is filed under the name uncultured bacterium. RNAcentral describes it as "partial 16S ribosomal RNA". It matches the Rfam family "Bacterial small subunit ribosomal RNA", at positions 342 to 525 of the family's 1533-position model. The record is from RNAcentral.
CGGGAGGCAGCAGUAGGGAAUCUUCCACAAUGGACGAAAGUCUGAUGGAGCAACGCCGCGUGAGUGAAGAAGGGUUUCGGCUCGUAAAACUCUGUUGUUAAAGAAGAACAUAUCUGAGAGUAACUGUUCAGGUAUUGACGGUAUUUAACCAGAAAGCCACGGCUAACUACGUGCCAGCAGCCGCGGUAAUA